CUAACGUCAACUUAACCUAAAUUUGAGAAGUAAAGUUCAGAUUUGCUUAUCCUAGUUGAAGGUGAUAAGUCAAGUACAAGUGAUUAGUAAAUUUGCCGUUUGUUAAGUUAUAAUAUUCAGGAAACUUCUAAAUAAAACAUAUUCGUUUUAUGUCUUUAGUAUACUGUCUAAUCAAAAUACAGGUUUUCUUCAAAAGAACUCUACAUGCUCUACAGUACGUGUGUGACAGUUAAACUGUAGAGUUUGUUCAGUACACUGGGAAAUGGCCCCAACAGUGCCUUCAGAAGGAUUUUGGGGCCCACCAACUGCUACAAUUGACUGGUGUGAGAAAAAUUAUCAAGUCAGCUUUUAUGUUGCUGAAUGGUGGAACACCAUUAGCAAUCUCAUGAUCAUCUUGCCUCCUCUCUGGGGAAUAUUUGAGGUUUACAAUCAGGGAUUCGAUAAAAGAUUUAUAUUCUGCAACUUUUUAGUCGCUAUUGUUGGUGUUGGAUCGUGGUUCUUCCACAUGACUCUACUCUAUGAAAUGCAACUGUUUGAUGAACUUCCGAUGGUGUACGGCUCUCUCUUCUUGUUGUACUGUCUAAUUGAGGCACCCAAGGCUGCAAAUAAGGAAUUCUUUUCCAACAAACCUCUGUUUGCCUUUCUGUUGACGUUUGCAGUCAUGUUCACCCUCAUUUACCUCGUUUGGCCACAGCCUUGGUUCCAACAUUCAUCUUAUGGUGUGAUUGUCCUUGGAUCUUUUGGGAUGAAAGCAAAAAUCAUCAGAGAGAAGAAGUGCAGAAUUUGCAAGAGAAUUUUUUUAACAUCAAUAUCAUUAUAUUUGUUUGCAUUUUUCUUGUGGAAUGUGGACAAGCUUUUCUGUUCAUCAUUGGAGAACGUGCGGCAGAAAGCACCGACAGGUGUCGGUCCAGUCACACAGCUCCAUGCUUGGUGGCAUGCUCUCGCUGGAUACUCCUCUUACCUCUUGGUGCUAUUUUGCAUUCACACUUGGUAUGACUUCCACAAACAGAAAGAAGAGAAGAGGAAGUUAGAAUUGACUCACCUUGGGUUUAGUCUGCGAUGGUCAUAGUUAGUCCCCAUUUACAGAUGGUGUUAAAACUUGCAGUCAUAUAACUGUGCUCUUGGUGCGUAAUUUUCUCGUGGUAUCUUGAUAGGGCGAGGCCUCUGUUUAAAAUCAUUCUACAAGUCAGAUUGCACUAGCCAAAUAACGCCUUCUGUUGCACAAUGGUUAUUACACUAAACUGAACACCUGAACUGAGUGCUGACAUUGUUAUUCUCAAGGCACUGGCUACUGCGGGAAUGGAAUUCUACAUUUACUGGAAGAAACCUGAGAUAAGUGAUGAAUCAAACUCUACAAAAUAUGAUUAUGGAAACAAUCUGGAAUCUGGUACUCAGUCUUUUGGUGCAUUCAACAAUUAUCAUCAGUCUGUGAUAAAAUAUCAAAAUUUGAGAGCAAUGUAAGUACAAGAGAGGUGCUGAAAUAUUGUAACAGUCACUCUGAUAAUGAACUAGUCUAGUCUUUGACAUCUCAGUUUGCAUGUACUUGUCGGACGUUGAAAAAUAACUGAGGUGGAAAGGAAUACACUUGGACGCUGUAAUACCGAGUGUAAUAUAAUACUGUACCACAAGUUUGAUAGUAUUUUGUACUAUUUUAAGUGUACACAUCUUUCUGUUUACUUUCUUUACUAGUUUUUAUUUAUAUACUAGUAAAUCAUAAACUAAAUGCUGAAUAUUCAUAGUUUGUACGUAGGAGUGAUUUUAAGGUUGUCAAUGUAAAAGUAUAUUAACAAUUCACUUUGAUGUAAUUGCUUUUGAAUUAUUCUUUGACACAAUUGCACAGUUUUAAGCUUUGUUGUUGAACAUAAUUUAUUAAUCUAGAAAAACUGAGUGAUAUUUAUAAUCAAUUUUAGCUUUAAUACACCGGUACAUAAAAAAAAAAAAAAAAAAAAAAAAAACAUGAGAUAAGCUUAUUUUAGAAAGAAA
Molecule: RNA transcript, 1983 nt
Organism: Homalodisca vitripennis (glassy-winged sharpshooter)
Lineage: Eukaryota; Metazoa; Arthropoda; Insecta; Hemiptera; Cicadellidae
Gene: bwa
Gene name: alkaline ceramidase 3
Exons: 10
Source: RefSeq, a predicted model, not a curated record